This 274-nucleotide ribosomal RNA is filed under the name uncultured bacterium. RNAcentral describes it as "partial 16S ribosomal RNA". It matches the Rfam family "Bacterial small subunit ribosomal RNA", at positions 81 to 353 of the family's 1533-position model. The record is from RNAcentral.
CGAUUAUAAAGUUAGUGGCGGACGGGUGAGUAACGCGUGAAUAACCUGCCCUGUACCGGGGGACAACAAUUGGAAACGGCUGCUAAUACCGCAUAAGCGCACGGUUCCGCAUGGAACAGUGUGAAAAACUCCGGUGGUACAGGAUGGAUUCGCGUCUGAUUAGCCAGUUGGUGGGGUAACGGCCUACCAAAGCAACGAUCAGUAGCCGGCCUGAGAGGGUGAACGGCCACAUUGGGACUGAGACACGGCCCAAACUCCUACGGGAGGCAGCAUG